UACGAAGGGGGCUAGCGUUGCUCGGAAUCACUGGGCGUAAAGGGUGCGUAGGCGGGUCUUUAAGUCAGGGGUGAAAUCCUGGAGCUCAACUCCAGAACUGCCUUUGAUACUGAAGAUCUUGAGUUCGGGAGAGGUGAGUGGAGCUGCGAGUGUAGAGGUGAAAUUCGUAGAUAUUCGCAAGAACACCAGUGGCGAAGGCGGCUCACUGGCUCAUUACUGACGCUCAGGCGCGAUAGCGUGGGGAUCAAGCAGG
RNAcentral lists this ribosomal RNA (253 nucleotides) under uncultured bacterium. Its description in RNAcentral is "partial 16S ribosomal RNA". It matches the Rfam family "Bacterial small subunit ribosomal RNA", at positions 524 to 776 of the family's 1533-position model. The record is from RNAcentral.